ACGCGGCGGACGGGUGAGUAACGCGUGGGUAACCUGCCUCAUACAGGGGGAUAACAGUUAGAAAUGACUGCUAAUACCGCAUAAGACCACAGCACCGCAUGGUGCGGGGGUAAAAACUCCGGUGGUAUGAGAUGGACCCGCGUCUGAUUAGCUAGUUGGUAAGGUAACGGCUUACCAAGGCGACGAUCAGUAGCCGACCUGAGAGGGUGACCGGCCACAUUGGGACUGAGACACGGCCCAA
This 241-nucleotide ribosomal RNA is filed under the name uncultured bacterium. RNAcentral describes it as "partial 16S ribosomal RNA". It matches the Rfam family "Bacterial small subunit ribosomal RNA", at positions 93 to 334 of the family's 1533-position model. The record is from RNAcentral.